Molecule: ribosomal RNA, 460 nt
Filed under: uncultured bacterium
Lineage: Bacteria
Description: partial 16S ribosomal RNA
Rfam family: Bacterial small subunit ribosomal RNA
Source: RNAcentral
CCUACGGGAGGCAGCAGUGAGGAAUAUUGGGCAAUGGACGAGAGUCUGAACCAGCCAAGUAGCGUGAAGGAUGACUGCCCUAUGGGUUGUAAACUUCGUUUAUAAAGGAAUAAAACGAGGCACGUGUGCCUUUUUGCAUGUACUUUAUGAAUAAGGAUCGGCUAACUCCGUGCCAGCAGCCGAGGUAAUACGGAGGAUCCGAGCGUUAUGCGGAUUUGUUGGGUUUAAAGGGGGCGUAGAUCGGGUGUUAAGUAAGUUGUGAAAGUUUGCGGCGCAACCGUAAAAUUGCCAUUGAUACUGGCAGGCUUGAGUACAGUUGAGGUAGGCGGAAUUCGUGGUGUAGCGGUGAAAUGCUUAGAUAUCACGAAGAACCCCGAUUGCGAAGGCAGCUUACUAAACUGUGACUGACAUUGAUGCUCGAAAGUGUGGGUAUCAAACAGGAUUAGAUACCCGAGUAGUC